UACGGGGGGAGCAAGCGUUGUUCGGAUUUACUGGGCGUAAAGGGCGCGUAGGCGGCGUGACAAGUCACUUGUGAAAUCUCCGGGCUUAACCCGGAGCGGCCAAGUGAUACUGUCGUGCUAGAGUGCGGAAGGGGCUACUGGAAUUCUCGGUGUAGCGGUGAAAUGCGUAGAUAUCGAGAGGAACACCUGCGGCGAAGGCGGGUAGCUGGGCCGAUACUGACACUGAGGAGCGAAAGCGUGGGGAGCGAACAGG
This 253-nucleotide ribosomal RNA is filed under the name uncultured bacterium. RNAcentral describes it as "partial 16S ribosomal RNA". It matches the Rfam family "Bacterial small subunit ribosomal RNA", at positions 524 to 776 of the family's 1533-position model. The record is from RNAcentral.